UACGGAGGUGGCAAGCGUUACUCGGAUUUACUGGGUGUAAAGGGCACGUAGGCGGCCCGAUAAGCUCUGCCUAAAAUGCACUGGCUUAACCAGGGCGUGUGGUGGAGGACUGCUGGGCUUGAGGAUGACAGAGGCGAGCGGAAUUCCCGGUGUAAGGGUGAAAUCUGUAGAGAUCGGGAGGAACACCAGUGGCGAAAGCGGCUCGCUGGGUCAUUUCUGACGCUAAGGUGCGAAAGCUAGGGGAGCAAACAGG
RNAcentral lists this ribosomal RNA (253 nucleotides) under uncultured bacterium. RNAcentral's name for it is "partial 16S ribosomal RNA". It matches the Rfam family "Bacterial small subunit ribosomal RNA", at positions 524 to 776 of the family's 1533-position model. The record is from RNAcentral.